GACGAACGCUGGCGGCGUGCCUAACACAUGCAAGUCGAGCGGAGUUAGUUUGUAGCUUGCUACAAACUAACUUAGCGGCGGACGGGUGAGUAACGCGUGGAUAACCUGCCUUUUACAGGGGGAUAACACAGGGAAACUUGUGCUAAUACCGCAUAACAUAUAGAAGUGGCAUCACUUUUAUAUCAAAGGAGCAAUUCGGUAGAAGAUGGAUCCGCGUCCGAUUAGCUAGUUGGCGGGGUAAAGGCCCACCAAGGCGACGAUCGGUAGCCGAACUGAGAGGUUGAUCGGCCACAUUGGGACUGAGACACGGCCCAGGCUCCUACGGGAGGCAGCAGUGGGGAAUAUUGCGCAAUGGGGGAAACCCUGACGCAGCAACGCCGCGUGAAGGAUGAAGGCUUUCGGGUUGUAAACUUCUUUAGUCGGGGACGAAAAAAUGACGGUACCCGAAGAAUAAGCCACGGCUAACUACGUGCCAGCCGCCGCAGUAA
RNAcentral lists this ribosomal RNA (488 nucleotides) under uncultured bacterium. RNAcentral's name for it is "partial 16S ribosomal RNA". It matches the Rfam family "Bacterial small subunit ribosomal RNA", at positions 28 to 523 of the family's 1533-position model. The record is from RNAcentral.